This 361-nucleotide ribosomal RNA is filed under the name uncultured Pseudoflavonifractor sp. RNAcentral's name for it is "bacterial SSU rRNA". It matches the Rfam family "Bacterial small subunit ribosomal RNA", at positions 355 to 730 of the family's 1533-position model. The record is from RNAcentral. Lineage: Bacteria; Bacillati; Bacillota; Clostridia; Eubacteriales; Oscillospiraceae.
UGGGGAAUAUUGGGCAAUGGGCGCAAGCCUGACCCAGCAACGCCGCGUGAAGGAAGAAGGUUUUCGGAUUGUAAACUUCUGUCCUAAGUGACGAAGGAAGUGACGGUAGCUUAGGAGGAAGCCCCGGCUAACUACGUGCCAGCAGCCGCGGUAAUACGUAGGUGGCAAGCGUUGUCCGGAUUUACUGGGUGUAAAGGGCGUGUAGCCGGGUCGGUAAGUCAGAUGUGAAAUCUACGGGCUCAACUCGUAAACUGCAUUUGAAACUGCUGAUCUUGAGUAUCGGAGAGGCAAUCGGAAUUCCUAGUGUAGCGGUGAAAUGCGUAGAUAUUAGGAGGAACACCAGUGGCGAAGGCGGAUUGCU